This is a long non-coding RNA of Eurytemora carolleeae, 1236 nucleotides long. RefSeq lists it as uncharacterized. The transcript has 2 exons. NCBI's taxonomy places the organism in Eukaryota, Metazoa, Arthropoda, Copepoda, Calanoida, Temoridae. The record is from RefSeq and is a predicted model, not a curated record.
AGAGAGAUCUGAGCAUAUGCUUGAGAUCCUAGCUACUGAGAUAUCAAGCAUACAUGGAGAUAGAGAGAUCUGAGCAUAUGCUUGAGAUACUAGCUACUGAGAUAUCAAGCCUACAUGGAGAUAUAGAGAUCUGAACAUAUGCUUGAGAUACUAGCUACUGAGAUAUCAAGCAUACAUGGAGAUAGAGAGAUCUGAGCAUAUGCUUGAGAUACUAGCUACUGAGAUAUCAAGCAUGCAUGGAGAUAUUGAGAUCUGAACAUAUGCUUGAGAUACUAGCUUCUGAGAUAUCAGACAUGCACGGAGAUAUUGAGAUCUGAGCAUAUGCUUGAGAUCCUAGCUACUGAGAUAUCAGGCAUACAUGGAGAUAUAGAGAUUUAAAUAAAAUAUCUCAAAUUACAAGACCUGACCCGUUAACUAACAAAAAUAUCUGUGAUAAUUUGAAAUUGUUCUUAUUGUUUGAACCUAUGUUAGCGUUUCAAGGGUUUGGAUUGGUUUUCUCUGAAAAUAAUCUUAACAUCACAUUCCUCAAUCUUGUUGAUCAUUUCCUAUAUCAUUCCCUGAUUCAGUCACACAGUAUAUUCAGUAUUAACAUCACAUUCCAUUCUAUUACUUUAACAGCCUAGACUUAUCAGCUGUUAAUUUCAAUACAAAUUUUAUUUUAUAUCACAUUACUGUCAACAUAUAAAAACAGUUCUACUCUUCUAAUCAUGCUAAUUCAAAAUUGUGGUCUGUUUUUCCAAACUUAGUAAAAAUUGAAUUCACAGAUUUGGUUUAAGAAUUAUACCUGUAUUUUCUGAGCUUUAAAUCAUUUGUUUUCUGUACCUAUUCUAAUAUAUACAAAAAAUAUUUAAAAAUAUCAAUCUCUCUUCGUUCAAAAUGAAUUUAAAAUUCAUUAUUUCUGACCGUGUGCCAUAUUCAAUAUUUAUACUUGUAACUUGAAAAUUACCGAUUUGGAAAUUUAUAUAAAGGAUUUGUUUUUAUCCUUUAUCUUCAUAUUUCUUAACUAACAAAAUAUUCUUGUCAUAAACUGUACUGUACUGUACUACAUCACCAAUAAAUUGUACUGUACUUCGUAACCAAUGAUUUGUAUUGUACUGUACUAAUUCACGAAUCAAAUGUAGUAACCAAUGAAUUGUACCAUUUUGUAACGAGGCCUAAUUUUUUGGUAAUUUAGCAUAAAUUGUACUGUAGUGUUUUGUACAAGUUUUUAAGAAUUAAUAAAUUUUUUUAUUUUAA